RNAcentral lists this ribosomal RNA (439 nucleotides) under uncultured bacterium. Its description in RNAcentral is "partial 16S ribosomal RNA". It matches the Rfam family "Bacterial small subunit ribosomal RNA", at positions 339 to 795 of the family's 1533-position model. The record is from RNAcentral.
CUACGGGCUGCACCAGUGGGGAAUAUUGCACAAUGGGGGGAACCCUGAUGCAGCAACGCCGCGUGGAGGAUGACACAUUUCGGUGCGUAAACUCCUUUUAUAUAAGAAGAUAAUGACGGUAUUAUAUGAAUAAGCACCGGCUAACUCCGUGCCAGCAGCCGCGGUAAUACGGGGGGUGCAAGCGUUACUCGGAAUCACUGGGCGUAAAGAGCAUGUAGGCUGGUUAGUAAGUUGGAAGUGAAAUCCUAUGGCUUAACCAUAGAACUGCUUCCAAAACUACUAACCUAGAAUAUGGGAGAGGUAGAUGGAAUUUCUGGUGUAGAGGUAAAAUCCGUAGAGAUCAGAAGGAAUACCGAUUGCGAAGGCGAUCUACUGGAACAUUAUUGACGCUCAGAUGCGAAAGCGUGGGGAGCAAACAGGAUUAGAUACCCGUGUAGUC